This 649-nucleotide ribosomal RNA is filed under the name Clostridioides difficile. Its description in RNAcentral is "bacterial LSU rRNA". It matches the Rfam family "Bacterial large subunit ribosomal RNA", at positions 758 to 1415 of the family's 2925-position model. Lineage: Bacteria; Bacillati; Bacillota; Clostridia; Peptostreptococcales; Peptostreptococcaceae. The record is from RNAcentral.
AAAAUUUCGUGGAGGUCCGAACCCACGAGCGUUGAAAAGCUCGGGGAUGACUUGUGGGUAGCGGUGAAAUUCCAAUCGAGCCCGGAGAUAGCUGGUUCUCCCCGAAAUAGCUUUAGGGCUAGCCUCAAGGUGAGAGAUACGGAGGUAGAGCACUGAAUGUCCUAGGGGGUAUUGCACCUACCGAAGACUAUCAAACUCCGAAUGCCGUCAUCUUAUACUUGGGAGUCAGACUGUGGGUGAUAAGAUUCAUAGUCGAAAGGGCAACAGCCCAGAUCGUCAGCUAAGGUCCCUAAAUGUAAGUUAAGUGGUAAAGGAUGUGGGAUUGCACAGACAACCAGGAUGUUGGCUUAGAAGCAGCCACUCAUUCAAAGAGUGCGUAAUAGCUCACUGGUCGAGUGAUCCUGCGCCGAAGAUUUCCGGGGCUAAAACUUACUACCGAAGCUACGGCAUCAGUAAUGAUGGGUAGGGGAGCUUCCCAUACGGGUUGAAGCAUGACCGUAAGGACAUGUGGACAGUAUGGGAGUGAGAAUGUUGGCAUGAGUAGCGAGAUGUGGGUGAGAAUCCCACAGGCCGUAAACCCAAGGUUUCCAGGGGAAGGUUCGUCCGCCCUGGGUUAGUCGGGACCUAAGCUGAGGCCGAAAGGCGUAGG